UGACCGGUUGCCAAAAAUGAUUCUUGGUUUGGGUCCAAGAGGUCCCCGGUUCAAAUCCGGGCCGGCCCACCA
This 72-nucleotide transfer RNA is filed under the name Candidatus Thorarchaeota archaeon. RNAcentral describes it as "tRNA-Pro". It matches the Rfam family "tRNA". Rfam says of the family: Transfer RNA (tRNA) molecules are approximately 80 nucleotides in length. Their secondary structure includes four short double-helical elements and three loops (D, anti-codon, and T loops). Further hydrogen bonds mediate the characteristic L-shaped molecular structure. tRNAs have two regions of fundamental functional importance: the anti-codon, which is responsible for specific mRNA codon recognition, and the 3' end, to which the tRNAs corresponding amino acid is attached (by aminoacyl-tRNA synthetases). tRNAs cope with the degeneracy of the genetic code in two manners: having more than one tRNA (with a specific anti-codon) for a particular amino acid; and 'wobble' base-pairing, i.e. permitting non-standard base-pairing at the 3rd anti-codon position. Lineage: Archaea; Promethearchaeati; Candidatus Thorarchaeota. The record is from RNAcentral.